RNAcentral lists this ribosomal RNA (497 nucleotides) under uncultured bacterium. RNAcentral's name for it is "partial 16S ribosomal RNA". It matches the Rfam family "Bacterial small subunit ribosomal RNA", at positions 28 to 507 of the family's 1533-position model. The record is from RNAcentral.
GAUGAACGCUGGCGGCGUGCCUAAUACAUGCAAGUCGAGCGAACAGACGAGGAGCUUGCUCCUCUGACGUUAGCGGCGGACGGGUGAGUAACACGUGGAUAACCUACCUAUAAGACUGGGAUAACUUCGGGAAACCGGAGCUAAUACCGGAUAAUAUAUUGAACCGCAUGGUUCAAUAGUGAAAGACGGUUUUGCUGUCACUUAUAGAUGGAUCCGCGCCGCAUUAGCUAGUUGGUAAGGUAACGGCUUACCAAGGCAACGAUGCGUAGCCGACCUGAGAGGGUGAUCGCCCACACUCGAACUGAGACACGGUCCAGACUCCUACGGGAGGCAGCAGUAGGGAAUCUUCCGCAAUAGGCGACAGCCUGACGGAGCAACGCCGCAUGAGUGAUGAAGGUCUUCGGAUCGUAAAACUCUGUUAUUAGGGAAGAACAAAUGUGUAAGUAACUAUGCACGUCUUGACGGUACCUAAUCAGAAAGCCACGGCUAACUACGUG